AACCGGCGCGCGGCUGGAGGCUGGGAACCAGCUCCUGGGUCUUAGUCAGAGGUUCACAUCCACCAACUAUCUUCCCAGGGUUGGACUGAGAAGGGGAGCAGAGGGUCCCAGGGACUCUCCUGAGAUCCUGGCUCUCCUGCCAAGGAAUUUACAUUUCCUUGUCACAGCACCAUGUAAGAUAUCCAACUACUCUGAAACUACCACACUGUGAAGAGUCUAACCAAGCCAC
RNAcentral lists this long non-coding RNA (229 nucleotides) under Homo sapiens (human). RNAcentral describes it as "non-protein coding lnc-PLCL2-1:3". Lineage: Eukaryota; Metazoa; Chordata; Mammalia; Primates; Hominidae. The record is from RNAcentral.